This 253-nucleotide ribosomal RNA is filed under the name uncultured bacterium. RNAcentral's name for it is "partial 16S ribosomal RNA". It matches the Rfam family "Bacterial small subunit ribosomal RNA", at positions 524 to 776 of the family's 1533-position model. The record is from RNAcentral.
GACGAACCGUGCGAACGUUAUUCGGAAUCACUGGGCUUAAAGGGCGCGUAGGCGGGUCGGUAAGUCAGGGGUGAAAUCCCACGGCCCAACCGUGGAAGUGCCUCUGAUACUGCCGGCCUCGAGGGGGGUAGGGGCGUGCGGAACUCAGGGUGGAGCGGUGAAAUGCGUAGAUAUCCUGAGGAACACCGGUGGCGAAAGCGGCGCGCUGGAUCCCUUCUGACGCUGAGGCGCGAAAGCCAGGGGAGCAAACGGG